Molecule: ribosomal RNA, 402 nt
Filed under: Bacteroidota bacterium
Lineage: Bacteria; Pseudomonadati; Bacteroidota
Description: Bacteroidetes bacterium partial 16S ribosomal RNA
Rfam family: Bacterial small subunit ribosomal RNA
Source: RNAcentral
UGGGGAAUUUUGCACAAUGGGGGAAACCCUGAUGCAGCGACGCCGCGUGAUUUAGAAGGCCUUCGGGUUGUAAAAAUCUUUUUUAUGGGAUGAAAAUGACAGUACCAUAAGAAUAAGGUCCGGCUAAAUACGUGCCAGCAGCCGCGGUAAUACGUAUGGACCGAGCGUUGUCCGGAAUCAUUGGGCGUAAAGGGUACGUAGGCGGCCUAGUAAGUUAGAAGUUAAAGAAUAUAGCUCAACUAUAUAAAGCUUUUAAAACUGCUAGGCUUGAGAGAUGGAAGGGAAAGUGGAAUUCCUAGUGUAGCGGUGAAAUGCGCAGAUAUUAGGAAGAAUACCGGUGGCGAAGGCGACUUUCUGGUCAUCAUCUGACGCUGAGGUACGAAAGCGUGGGUAGCAAACAGG